Molecule: unclassified non-coding RNA, 166 nt
Organism: Chelonoidis abingdonii (Abingdon island giant tortoise)
Lineage: Eukaryota; Metazoa; Chordata; Testudines; Testudinidae
Source: Ensembl
UUGACAGCUUUUAAGUUCUGUAUUUACACAAAAGAUACACAAUGGGCAGCAGCAGUGCAAGCUUCCAUACACUUCUCCAUCAAUGUGUCUAAACUUUUAUUGGGGGCAACACUUCUAGAGGUGAGAGGAUAAUUUAUUGUCUUUCUCCAUUCUUUACUUGGCAUCU